AAGCACAAUCAUAAUACUCAUAAAUAUUUAUCAACAUUAAAUUGAGAGAGGUAUCGUUCGUAAUGGCUUCAGCAUCAAAAGCCCUUGUGCUAUUCUUCACAGUGCUUAUUAUUUCUACCUCAAUCCCAUCAUCAUCAGCUACUUCAUCAUCAUCAUCAUCAUGUCCAAAGAAUACCCUCAAGUUGGAUGCAUGUGUUGAUUUGUUGAAUGGCUUGGCGAAGGUGAACCUUGGUGAACUUGUUCCCACACCAAAUCACCCAUGCUGCAGCCUUCUUGGUGAUUUGGUUAGAGUCCAAGCACGUGUCUGUCUUUGCACUUCCCUCAAACUCAACGUCUUGGAUUUGAUUAAACUCAACAUCCCAGAGCUUUCUGUCAACUUGCUCUUGAAUCAAUGCAGACCCAAGGUUCCUCGUGGCUACAAGUGCUGAUAAAUUAAUCCCACACUCAAUGAUCUCUUUUGUCAUCACCAAUUCAUCAUAUAUCUUCAACACCUUUUCAUGGUGUGUUUUGUUUAUGGGUAUUUUGCAUUAUGUUCAUUAAUAAUUCUUUUCAGUGUUGCUGAAAUUGGUUUAUUUUUUUGUUUAUUGUUUAAGGUAAUUGAAGUUCUUCAGCUUCUUCCUUAAUUAGCUACCUAUUGUUUGUUCCAUUUGCAUUUAAUUGAAAUGUAAUAUAUAGUACACAAUUGUGUGCCAAUUCAAUAUUAAUAAUAAAUUGCUGUUUUCUUUAAUUUUUUUCUGUGUCAAAGGAUUAUUAAUAUUAGCCACUUCAACACUGUUGGCAUGAAUCGAUUUACUUAACAAUCAUUCAUAUUACUCUCUCUUCAGGCGCCAAUGCAUGGAUCAGAUGGCACAAUUAUCUCUUUCUCUUGUGAGAAACAUAAAAAUCGAUGGCUCAAUUUAUCAGAAAAAUAUUCAUUAUAUGGCUAGGGUCGAGUAAUUUGGCAGAAGGUUAUCUUUCUAAAAGUAAAAUAUAAAUAAUGGACCCUUCUAUGAUGAUGUCUAAAAAUCUCAACAUCAAUAGGGAUUAAUGUGGACUAUUAGAUUAAAUCUAUUGUUUAUAAUAAGUAAACAAAACAAAUAAAAAAAUAAAAGUGAAAAGUUAACUCUUUACUGGUUAAAUAACAUAAAUUUGAUAAAGGAUAAGAAAAGAAAUCAUACUAGUUAAAUAGGAUAGAGAAAGGUUUACAACUUGAAAAGAAGAAAAAUUAAUUCAAAUACAACAACUAAAUACCAUAAAAAUCUGAUUAUUUAAUGCCUUGUAUUUUAUAUGUACAAAAUAUAAUUAAAUAUAAUUAAAUAUAAUUAAUUAUACUAUUUGUUUAUAAAAGAUAUAAAAGUUACGUAGUAUAAAUUCUUUCUUAUACACACUUGUUAAAAAGUUUCACUCAUAAACAAAUUGUAUUUUUAUCUUAUAUCACUAAAUUAUAAUUACAUUGCUUGAUUGAUAUAAAGCUUUAGUUAUGUUACAUCGUCAUGUAACAUACAUGAUUCUUCAUUCGACGGUUGCGAAAAUAACAUGAUUUAUUAUCUUAUAUUUCCACAACCAUUGGAUUUUCAUCCAACAGCUGUGGAAUAAUCAUGCAUCUUACAUGAUAAUGUAAGGUAACAAUCUCCUUUAUAUAAACCUCGUAAUGUAAUAUUGUUGAUUUUGAUAAAUUAUACGCUAGUGAAAAGUAAAAAAAAAAUUCAUAUAUAUAAUGAUUUAUCUUCAUAUAUAAUAGGAUAUAAGCUAGACUUAAAUUAAAUUAAAAUAUAAGGAAUUACUUAUAAUUUGGGUAACUGAUAACUAUCUGUUAAAGAUAAAUCAAGGGUUUGGGUGCUUCAUUUUAAAUCAAACGGUUCACGAUAAUCCCAUUAUUAAUACUAUAACUGUUUUAACACCAUCGUAGAGAAAUCCAUAAAUAAUUCUUUGUUUCAAUCUAUUUGCUAUUAUAUAUCACAUAUCUGAUUAAUUCCCGAAAUUCGUUAUUAAUUUCAUAAGAAAAAUAAACAAACUCAAAGAUCAACAAAAAGCAGUAUAAGAAUAAAAACAACUCCACAAGUCACAAUUAAUAAUAUGAAAGGUUCUGGCCACCCUAGUUCGAAUCAUGAGAAAGUGGAGGAAUAAAAAAAAAAAUUUGAAGUGUUGCCCUACUCUACUAGAUUGCUCCCUCAUUUCACUUAUGUUUGAAGACGUAGUUGAAAGAUAUAAUACCGAUCUUGUGAUCAAAGAUUUAAAUAUAUGUGCUACAAAAUUUAGCCAAAGAUUUUUCACUUCGGUCUACUUUUACAUAAUUAUUUCUAUUUCUUAUUUAUUUACAUAAAAAUUCCCUUUUCAUCCCUAAAGUUCAUUUAAGUAUCUAAUCGAACCUAAUAUUCUUAAAUAUGCCUUAAAUCUCUGUGUUGUUAUAUUUGUUAAUUACUUUAAAAAGGGCUAUCUUUUAAUUUCUUUUACAUUUCUACCCUUAAAUAUUAAAUGAAGUUUAUCCGUAGUCAAGGCUGUAAUUGUAUAGAUAUCCAUCUAAUUGGAAAAAAAAUAUAUUUUAUGUAUAUGAUUUUAUAUAUAUACAUCUAGUUGUAAUUACGUGUGCUUCCUCCCUUAUGAUCUCUCCCUAACGUGCAAAAUCUUAUGACAACGCUGCAACCAAAUGAAAUUAAUUGUUGUUUCGAUAGCAUUAUAUGCUGAUGAGGUGGCGAAAGAAUGAUUAGUUGUAGAUUUGUUGUUGAUAUCAUGUUAUUAAUUUUAGAUUGCCCCUAGGGGCUUAAUCUCACUAGUUUUUAAAUAAUCUUUAUUUUUAUUUGUAUUUCAAGUUUGAAUUUUAGAGGAGGUACAAGAUUAGAUAAUUGAUUUUGCUUGUCUUCAGUCCUCUACUUAAAGAGAAAAUGAUUCAAAAAAAUUAGUCUAAUGAUUUUUAAGUAGGCUUUUCUUGAAUAUUCAUGUGAAUUCAAAUCCUAGAAACAGGCGAUUAAAAAUUUGAUUUUCACUUUGACCACCCUCCUAAUUGUUAAAAAUCUUGAAAAAAUGUUAUUAAUUUUGGAUGGGUUUAUUACAUAUCUCCAAGUCUAUUUGGAAUUAAUUAGAAAAUUUUAAUAAUUUUUUAAUGUUGUUCAUGCUAACGACGUGAAACCAAUGAUCGGCAUAUAUAUGUAUACUAGAAAAUAGAACCGCGCUUCACGCGGCUUUGAAAAAGAAUUUAGUAUUAUCUUUUUUUCUUACUUUACACUUAAUGAAAUUGAUUAAAAAAUAUGAAUUGAUUUUUUUUUAAGAUGAUGCAGCCUUAUAAAAAACAAAAAAAGUUAUUAGCCAGCAAUAAAGAAGCAACGCAAGAUAAAGAAUAAAAUGAGAGAAUAUAUUAUAGAGUGAUUUUAUUCAUUCCAAUUGUGUGUGUACAAAACAAAAAGAUGAGUUCUCCUUUUAUAGUUACAUAAUCACUCCAUGAAAUUAAUGAAAAAUUAUGGAUCAUAAUUCCUUGUGAGAUAGUGGGAGUUAGAGGGAAGCUAAAAGUUGCUAAUGGGAGAUCAUUGGGAGACUAAGAGAUAUAUGUUAUGAACAUCUACAUUUAUUUUAAUAAAUUCAUAACACUCCCUCUUGGAUGUUCAUUACAAAGAAUAUGCCUCAUUAAAAUCUUUACAUAAUUGUUAUUGUGUAAUAGCAAUCAAAUUAAUUAUGAGAAGAUGAAAAUCCAAAUCUAAAACAAAAUUUCUCUAUUUAUUAGAUAAUAGAGAAUAUACAAAGAUGAGAAAUGGUGAUGCCACAUCACCUCCUCAAGUCCCAGCUAUAUAUAUAUAUAUAGAUAUAAAGAUAUAUAGAUAUAUAUAGAUAUAUAGAUAUAUAGAUAUAGAUUGUUUGGAAAUUAAAAACUAAUAAAAGCCAAAUAGAUAGCCUAUAAAUGCCCAACACUCUUCACCAUUAUUUUCAUCACAUCUCAAUACGCACGAUCAAUAAUACUCACAAAUAUUAUUCAACAUUAAAUUGAGAGAGAUAUCAUUCGAAAUGGCUUCAGCAUCAAAAGCCCUUGUGCUAUUCCUCACAUUGCUUAUUAUUACUACCUCAAUCCCGUUAUCAUCGGCUACAUCAUCAUCAUCAUCAUCAUCAUCAUCAUCAUCAUGAUGUCCAAAGAAUACCCUCAAAUUGGAUGCAUGUGUUGAUUUGUUGAAUGGCUUGGCGAAGGUGAACCUUGGCGAACUUGUUCCCACUCCAAAUCAACACAUACAUCCAACUUGAUUAUUUUUACUCAUGUUUGAUGAUGUAAUUGAAAAAUAUAAUACCGGUCUAGUGGUCAAAGAUUUAAAUCUAUGUGCUACAAAAUUUAGCCAAAGAUUUUCACUUACAGUCUACUUUACUUCCAUGUCUUAUUUAUUUAGCUGAAAACUCCCUUUUCUUAUCUAAGAUUUAUUUAAUUACCUAAUUGGUCCUCGGAUAGUUGUAUUCUUAAAUAUGCCUUAAAAGACUAUGCUGUUACUUUUGUUCAUUUAGCCAAAGCCAUUUUUAACUUCUUUUACAUUUUUAUCAUUGAAAUGUUAAGUAAAGUUUAUCCUAAAUCAAAGAAGUAAUUAUACAAAUAUCCUUCUAAUUCAAAAAAUAAUAUUGUACGUGAUUUUAUAUAAAUAUCCAUCUAGUUGUAAACUUGUAAUACAUGUGCUUCCUCUCUUCCAAGAUCUCUUCCGAACGUGCAAGAUCUUAUUACAGCUCUGCAACCAAAUCAAAUUAAUAGUUGUUUCGAUAACCUCAUAUGCUGGUGAGGUGGCCGAAGAAUGAUUACUUAUAGAUUUCUUAACAAUACAUUGGAUGUCAUGUUAUUAAAUUUUAUGUUAUCAAACUUUUUUUUUUUUUAUUAGCAAUCGAAGUUUGAAUAUUAAACAAAGAUAAAUGGUUAAAAAUUUGAUUUAGGUUGUAUAUAUACCUUUAUCUUAAAAAGAAAAAAAAAAAAAGCCUUUACGAAUUCGACCGAAUGGCUUCAAGCAAGCUUAUUUUUACUAAUCAUCUGAAUUCGAAUUCUAGAGAUAAGAGACUAAAAAAUUAUCUGAAACUCUACCCAUUCUCCACUCCUAAAAGAAAAAUGUUAUCAAUUUUAUAUGGGAAUAUUAUUGCAUUAUCUCCAAAUCUAGUUGGAACUAAUUAGAAAUUUUAUUAGUAAUUGUUUUAUGCUAUUCGUGCCAGCGACGUGAAAGCGAUGAUCUAUAUACGUACGUGUAAAUGGUGUGGAAAUUAAAAAAAUUUAAAAGCCAAAUGGAUAGCCUAUAAAAACCCAAAACUCUUCACCAUUAUUUUCAUCACAUCUCAAUAAGCACAAUCAAUAAUACUCACAAAUAUUAUUCAACAUUAAAUUGAGAGAGAUAUCAUUCGAAAUGGCGUCAGCAUCGAAAGCUCUUGUACUAUUCUUCACAGUGCUUAUUAUUGCUACCUCAAUCCCAUCAUCAUCAGCUACAUCAUCAUCAUCAUCAUCAUCAUCAUCAUCGUCGUCAUCAUCAUCUUCAUCAUGUCCAAAGAAUACCCUCAAGUUGGAUGCAUGCGUUGAUUUGUUGAAUGGCU
Molecule: long non-coding RNA, 5511 nt
Filed under: Citrus maxima (pomelo)
Lineage: Eukaryota; Viridiplantae; Streptophyta; Magnoliopsida; Sapindales; Rutaceae
Description: long non-coding RNA (CMAX_LNC001402)
Source: RNAcentral